Long non-coding RNA from Orcinus orca (killer whale), 703 nucleotides. RefSeq lists it as uncharacterized. NCBI's taxonomy places the organism in Eukaryota, Metazoa, Chordata, Mammalia, Artiodactyla, Delphinidae. The record is from RefSeq and is a predicted model, not a curated record. The transcript is spliced from 3 exons.
CACAGGUAGUAGAAGGGCAGCCUCUCCUUUAAGUCCUGUCCACUCAGGAUCCAAAAACGGUCUUGAAGAGACAGAGGGAGAGGUGGAAACACAUUAAGGGAAAAGAAGAAAUCCUAUGCGAAUUCCUCAUCUAAAGGCACCCUGAAGAUGAGGUCGUCGUCCGCAGGGACCGGGUCGUGCCGGCGCUGGUGAAGGUUCAUCCUUCAGUCACAAUAUUCUAGGAUUAUAAAGGAACAGAAGCAAGGAAAGGUGGAAGUUGACUCAACAGAUGAUUGAGAUAUUGAAGUUAACAGGCAGAGAGAGUCCCACGGAGCAUACCUAAUUUGCGAAAUUGUUCGCUGGGUGUGAUGUUGAAAACUGGAGGCUGAGGGAGAGCUCUAUCAUGUUUUGUUUUGUGUGAAUAAAAGAAAAUGAGGAAGAAGCGGAGAUACAGAGAGGGGAAUAAUAGGCUGGAUGCUGAAAAGCGAUCGUAGGGUCUGGCCCUGGAUGUCAGAUUUUGGAGAAAGAGAAGACAUUGAUGAGCAUCUCCAGGGAAGGACUUCGUUGGAAAGAGCAGACACUUAAGGCUAUUUUAUGACGUUUUCCAUUCGUUUAUAUGUACUUCUCCUUUCCCAUCGUUGUAGGUAAGGCACAGGUGAGCUUGAUUCGUUCGUUGCUUUUUGGAAUGCAUGCUUAAACAAAAGUGACUUCCACACUUCAAAUA